CCUACGGGAGGCAGCAGCAGGGAAUAUUGUGCAAUGAGCGAAAGCUUGACACAGCGACACCGCGUGUGGGAUGACGGUUCUAGGAUUGUAAACCACUUUCAGGAGGGAAGAAAAUGACGGUACCUCCACAAGAAGACCCGGCCAACUAUGUGCCAGCAGCCGCGGUAAUACAUAGGGGUCAAGCGUUGUCCGGAUUUAUUGGGCGUAAAGAGCUCGUAGGCGGUUCAACAAGUCGGUCGUAAAAGUUUAGGGCUCAACCCUAAAAUGUCGAUCGAUACUGUUGUGACUAGGAUACGGUAGAGGCGAAUGGAAUUCCGAGUGUAGCGGUGAAAUGCGUAGAUAUUCGGAGGAACACCAAUUGCGAAGGCAGUUCACUGGACCGUGAUCGACGCUGAGGAGCGAAAGCUAGGGGAGCAAACAGGAUUAGAUACCCUGGUAGUCCUAGCUGUAAACGAUGGAUACUAGAUGUAGGAACUGGAUUGACGGUUUCUGUAUCGUAGCUAACGCGUUAAGUAUCCCGCCUGGGGAGUACGGUCGCAAGACUAAAACUCAAAGGAAUUGACGG
This 565-nucleotide ribosomal RNA is filed under the name uncultured Acidimicrobiales bacterium. RNAcentral describes it as "bacterial SSU rRNA". It matches the Rfam family "Bacterial small subunit ribosomal RNA", at positions 338 to 916 of the family's 1533-position model. The record is from RNAcentral. Lineage: Bacteria; Bacillati; Actinomycetota; Acidimicrobiia; Acidimicrobiales.